RNAcentral lists this ribosomal RNA (253 nucleotides) under uncultured archaeon. RNAcentral's name for it is "partial 16S ribosomal RNA". It matches the Rfam family "Archaeal small subunit ribosomal RNA", at positions 474 to 727 of the family's 1478-position model. The record is from RNAcentral.
UACCUGCAGCUCGAGUGGUGGCCGCUAUUAUUGGGCCUAAAACGUCCGUAGCCGGCUUAUUAAAUGCCUGGGUAAAUCGUACGACUCAAUCGUACGAAUUCCGGGUAGACUGAUAGGCUUGGGACCGGGAGAAGCUAGAGGUACUCCUGGGGUAGAGGUGAAAUUCUGUAAUCCUAGGGGGACCACCAGUGGCGAAGGCGUCUAGCUAGAACGGGUUUGACGGUGAGGGACGAAGCCCUGGGGAGCAAACGGG